AAAAGCUCGUAGUUGGGUUUCUGUGGGGGACACGAAGGCCGGCCAUCAGUGGUUGUAGCCUAUCGCUGUUUUCUGCAUCUUGUCGCCAAUUGCCACUGGCAUUCACUUGUUGGUGUGCAGGACCGACUCAUUUACUUUGAGAAAAUUAGAGUGUUCAAAGCAGGCUAUUGCCGUGAAUAUGUUAGCAUGGAAUAAUGAUAUAGGACUUUGGUUCUAUCUUGUUGGUUGUUCGAGGACCGAAGUAAUGAUUGAUAGGGACAGUUGGGGGCAUCAGUAUUCUGAAGCGAGAGGUGAAAUUCUUGGACCUUCGGAAGACUAACAGCUGCGAAAGCGUUUGCCUAGGAUGUUCUCUUUAAUCAAGAACGAAAGUUGGGGGAUCGAAGACGAUCAGAUACCGUCGUAGUCUCAACUAUAAACUAUGCCAGCUAGGGAUUGGCGGAUGUUUAAUUACGACUCCGUCAGCACCUUAUGAGAAAUCAAAGCAUUUGGGUUCCGGGGGGAGUAUAGU
This 508-nucleotide ribosomal RNA is filed under the name uncultured marine eukaryote. Its description in RNAcentral is "bacterial SSU rRNA". It matches the Rfam family "Eukaryotic small subunit ribosomal RNA", at positions 622 to 1129 of the family's 1831-position model. The record is from RNAcentral.